AAUGUGAUUGUGGAAAUAAUGGAACAUGCGCUUUAGACGUUUUCGGAGAAAAGGAGUGUUCCUGCAAUGAAGGUUUUGCACAAUUUAGUGGAGGGUGCGAAGAAUGCAGUUGUGGACGCGGUGGAAAUUGCUCUUUCGACAGAUAUGGACGAAAGAUGUGUGCAUGCCAUACAGGUUUUAGAGAUCUGAAUGGAAACUGCCAAAGAAUACUCUUAGGUGAAAGCAAAGGAAGCACAUUUUCUGCACUUAUUGGAAGUUUUUUUGCUUUUCUCAUAAUAGCAUUCUCUGGUUUGUUUUAUUCCCGUUGGAGGAAGCAAAAAACGGGUCUUGCUUUUCGUUUCAAGAAAUUGAAGGAAUCAGUCGGUGAAGAAUAUGAACAAAGAGUGUAUUUAAAAUGAAAUUUCUACAUUGCGAGUGGCAUAUUUAACUCACAUAUUGGAACAGGGAAAAUUCAUCUGAAGUGCCGAAGUCUGAACAGUGAUUGAAAUUAAUCUGAAAAGUUGCUGAAUACAUGUGAACAGUUACUGAAGUGAUCUCUCUUCCAAUUAAUGAAACCUCGGUUCAUGGACUUAAUUAUUUCCUGAAUACUUUUCAUUCAUCAUGCUAAAUACCCUCAAACCAAAAUUAUUUUCUCCAUAGGAAUUAAUGUAAAAUCCGUUUCUGGACCACAAAAAUGAACGCUUAUCUAUACUUUAUAACAUUACUUUGUGCAGAAAAUCUUAUGUGCAGAAAAUCUUAAUGCAAAACCAGUACAAAUCAACUAUUCUAAAAGAAUAAAAAAAAGGUAAACACAAUAUUAAGCAGACAAAAUAAACAUGUACUUAGUUCGA
Stegodyphus dumicola is the source of this 830-nucleotide long non-coding RNA. NCBI's taxonomy places the organism in Eukaryota, Metazoa, Arthropoda, Arachnida, Araneae, Eresidae. The record is from RefSeq and is a predicted model, not a curated record.